UUUGCUAUAUGACGAGAGUUGUAACCGUUGAAAAACGCAAAGCCGACUUUAUCUGUCGAAGAAGGAGCUGUGACACCGGUUAAGAAAUGCAGGGCCCGGUCGCCGGCGAGAUAGCGUGUCGUAAGCGCGAGACAUAACCGCCAGAUAAAGGAUGAAAUUCACCAGAGGAAAACAUGAGCGGUAAUCUUGGAGGAAUGGGCAUGGAGAGAGAGAGAGAGAGAGAGAGAGAGAGACGGUUUACAGUGCCACAGAGGAAGAGAGCGCGCGCGAUAGAGAGAGGGGAAGAAUGUAUGCAUGUGUGUGCGCGCGCAUUGGCCUUUGAUGAGCGCGCGACUAAAAAUAAUUCUAUCUGUCCAUUAAAUGUAAACACGUUCUGCAAUUCAUUUCGGCGACAAAUUAUUUCUCUCUCUUUGAUAGGCAUUAGUUGCUCAUAAUCUUGUCCAGAUACGUCAUAGUUACAUAAUAUAAUGUUACUAAAAACCUUUCCGUCAUUGACUAUUUAAAUCGGUUGCUUUGAAGGUUCCUGUGCUUGGUCCUAAAAGUUUUGUACCUCAGUGGAUUUAAGGUCACUUGUAGUGAGAGAUUUAAGAGAAUAUAAGCUGUUUCAUUGGUCAAUUUUUCCUAAAGGAGCAAUAUAAAACAUACAAAAAUUGGCUAUUUCAAUUUGUACAAGUUAAAGUCAGAUUAAUCAACAUUUGUUUGCACUACAAAUCUAUGUUCUUAUUGGAAGGUUACUCUGCAGCCUUAACACAAAGUAUAAGAAGCUAAUAUGUGGAUCAAAGAUAUUCAGUUGUGGUUGAUGCACUCAGUAAAUAAUUAUCAAAUGGCCUGCCAAAUGUCCUAAUUUUUGAUGGAGAAUUGAUUGAAAAUGCAUGUUAUGUAUUUUUUCCUUCUUAUGUGUGAGAGACUGAGGGUCAUCACUAGAAAACUACUCAUUAGGCCAACAUAGAACCAUUAUCUAAACAUACUGUCCACCCACUUAAUCAGACGUCUGAGUUCCGUAAGUAUUUUCCCCAUUCAUUUUUUCCCAUAGACUUUUCAUAAAAUCCUUCAUAAAAGAGUUGUAAUCCAUGAACCAAACUAACCAGCUCUGAGGUAAAUCACAACAUCACAAACUUUGUUUUGAGGCAAAAAAGUAUUAAAAAAUCAGACAAAAAGAAAAAGGUACGAGACUGUGUAUUUGCUGUCUUUCACGAGGUCAUGAACUACAAUCCCAUGAAGCAUUGCGAACGAUGUAAUUGAAUAAAAAACUAUGGGAAUAUAUAAAUUCUAUAUUCUAUAAUUCUAAAAGUUGAUUAUAAGUAUAGAAACAAUAUAUUUUAUGUUUAUUGCAAAAUAUUCAGAUAUGUACAAAUAGAUAAGUAGUUCAAGGGAGAUGAGAGAUGGGCUCGAUUACGUCAAUCACAUGUGAGCGCACGGUCCCUCCGAGGCACGUUUUGCGGGAUUUGGCUGCAGUUCUCUGACUGACCAUAGGUAAUGUAGUUGUUCACUGGGAUUACCACUGUCAAACACAAUUUAAAAAAAAGGAAGUUGAAAUAACACAGAUGGAUGGCUUCAACGGCAUAUACCGUUGAUGAACAACCUCAGAGCUCAAGAACCAGACUGUUGCGGUCUAUUGAGAAGUGCAGUUUAACUGCCUGUGGUUGUCCUGAAUGAAAUUACAUCAUUGUGACACUAAAGAACAAUUUUUUCCUCACGUGACCAGACUCAACUCAUCCUCUGAGAUUAUACAAAAGUGUACUGCAAGACUUAUAAUGAGACUAUGAAGAAGAAGUUUUCCUACUUUCAUCCUGGAAAAGGCAGAGCUGAGAAACUAAAUCAAGAUUGUGGCAAAGGGAGAGAAGACUAAAUUUUAAAUCUUUUAUACAGUUGAUGUAUCUUUUUUUUUUUUAAUGCAUAUGUUGUUAGGAGUUCUUUAAGUGGGUGUUUUCAGUGGUUAAAUGAUUGUUAUGUUUUGCAGUUGCUGGAGACCAGGUUAACAGAGACAGACACAGGCGUAUUUUGUAUUCCGUUGACAUGAUGUCUGAUGAAGAAGAUGGUGUUGUCUACAGGAGGCCAGUGUGAGUUGUAGAACACACAGCUUUGAGAAGCUCUGUUCCAGGAGCUACAGAACAGACUUGAUGCAGACCCACACUAUACUGGGAACUAAUCACUUGUGUGAUGACAAGUGACAAAGUCAGAUGCCAGUUCAUUUACUGAACUCUAUUUGAAGCAUCACAAUGUGUUUCAGAUUUUUGUAUAUUUUAUUAUAGUUUAGUUUGUAUAUUUCACGUUUUCUUUUUAAAUAAAGAUCUUUU
This is a long non-coding RNA of Myxocyprinus asiaticus (Chinese sucker), 2297 nucleotides long. RefSeq lists it as uncharacterized. The transcript is spliced from 4 exons. NCBI's taxonomy places the organism in Eukaryota, Metazoa, Chordata, Actinopteri, Cypriniformes, Catostomidae. The record is from RefSeq and is a predicted model, not a curated record.